This 164-nucleotide ribosomal RNA is filed under the name Sipanea pratensis. RNAcentral's name for it is "5.8S ribosomal RNA". It matches the Rfam family "5.8S ribosomal RNA". From Rfam's summary of the family: 5.8S ribosomal RNA (5.8S rRNA) is a component of the large subunit of the eukaryotic ribosome. It is transcribed by RNA polymerase I as part of the 45S precursor that also contains 18S and 28S rRNA. RNAcentral also lists the same sequence under 4 other names. Lineage: Eukaryota; Viridiplantae; Streptophyta; Magnoliopsida; Gentianales; Rubiaceae. The record is from RNAcentral.
AUAACGACUCUCGGCAACGGAUAUCUAGGCUCUCGCAUCGAUGAAGGACGUAGCGAAAUGCGAUACUUGGUGUGAAUUGCAGAAUCCCGUGAAUCAUCGAGUUUUUGAACGCAAGUUGCGCCCGAAGCCAUUAGGCUGAGGGCACGUCUGCCUGGGCGUCACGC